AGGGAUCAUUACCGAGUUUACAACUCCCAAACCCCUAUGUGAACGUUACCAAACUGUUGCCUCGGCGGGUUUAUUUCAUGCCCCGGGCGCGUCGCAGCCCCGGACCAAGGCGCCCGCCGGAGGACCAACCAAAACUCUUUUGUAUGUCCCUCGCGGACUUUUAUAAUUCUGAACCAUCUCGGCGCCCCUAGCGGGCGUUUCGAAAAUGAAUCAAAACUUUCAACAACGGAUCUCUUGGUUCUGGCAUCGAUGAAGAACGCAGCGAAAUGCGAUAAGUAAUGUGAAUUGCAGAAUUCAGUGAAUCAUCGAAUCUUUGAACGCACAUUGCGCCCGCCAGUAUUCUGGCGGGCAUGCCUGUCCGAGCGUCAUUUCAACCCUCGAACCCCUCCGGGGGUCCGGCGUUGGGGAUCGGCCCUUUACCGGCCGGCCCCGAAAUACAGUGGCGGUCUCGCCGCAGCCUCUCCUGCGCAGUAGUUUGC
RNAcentral lists this unclassified non-coding RNA (479 nucleotides) under uncultured Trichoderma. RNAcentral describes it as "sequence contains ITS1, 5.8S rRNA gene, ITS2". The stretch from base 215 to 368 matches the Rfam family "5.8S ribosomal RNA". Lineage: Eukaryota; Fungi; Ascomycota; Sordariomycetes; Hypocreales; Hypocreaceae. The record is from RNAcentral.